This 477-nucleotide ribosomal RNA is filed under the name uncultured bacterium. RNAcentral describes it as "bacterial SSU rRNA". It matches the Rfam family "Bacterial small subunit ribosomal RNA", at positions 24 to 518 of the family's 1533-position model. The record is from RNAcentral.
UCAGGACGAACGCUGGCGGCGUGCUUAACACAUGCAAGUCGAGCGAUGAAGCUUCUUCGGGAGUGGAUAGCGGCGGACGGGUGAGUAACACGUGGGUAACCUGCCUCAUAGAGGGGAAUAGCCUUCCGAAAGGAAGAUUAAUACCGCAUAAGAUUGUAAUAUCGCAUGAUAUAGCAAUUAAAGGAGCAAUCCGCUAUGAGAUGGACCCGCGUCGCAUUAGCUAGUUGGUGAGGUAACGGCUCACCAAGGCGACGAUGCGUAGCCGACCUGAGAGGGUGAUCGGCCACAUUGGGACUGAGACACGGCCCAGACUCCUACGGGAGGCAGCAGUGGGGAAUAUUGCACAAUGGGGGAAACCCUGAUGCAAGCAACGCCGCGUGAGUGAUGACGGUCUUCGGAUUGUAAAGCUCUGUCUUCAGGGACGAUAAUGACGGUACCUGAGGAGGAAGCCACGGCUAACUACGUGCCAGCCGCGGC